RNAcentral lists this ribosomal RNA (2040 nucleotides) under Staphylococcus aureus M1443. RNAcentral describes it as "bacterial LSU rRNA". It matches the Rfam family "Bacterial large subunit ribosomal RNA", at positions 882 to 2925 of the family's 2925-position model. The record is from RNAcentral. Lineage: Bacteria; Bacillati; Bacillota; Bacilli; Caryophanales; Staphylococcaceae.
UCAAGUGAUGAUUAUUGGAGGUAGAGCACUGUUUGGACGAGGGGCCCCUCUCGGGUUACCGAAUUCAGACAAACUCCGAAUGCCAAUUAAUUUAACUUGGGAGUCAGAACAUGGGUGAUAAGGUCCGUGUUCGAAAGGGAAACAGCCCAGACCACCAGCUAAGGUCCCAAAAUAUAUGUUAAGUGGAAAAGGAUGUGGCGUUGCCCAGACAACUAGGAUGUUGGCUUAGAAGCAGCCAUCAUUUAAAGAGUGCGUAAUAGCUCACUAGUCGAGUGACACUGCGCCGAAAAUGUACCGGGGCUAAACAUAUUACCGAAGCUGUGGAUUGUCCUUUGGACAAUGGUAGGAGAGCGUUCUAAGGGCGUUGAAGCAUGAUCGUAAGGACAUGUGGAGCGCUUAGAAGUGAGAAUGCCGGUGUGAGUAGCGAAAGACGGGUGAGAAUCCCGUCCACCGAUUGACUAAGGUUUCCAGAGGAAGGCUCGUCCGCUCUGGGUUAGUCGGGUCCUAAGCUGAGGCCGACAGGCGUAGGCGAUGGAUAACAGGUUGAUAUUCCUGUACCACCUAUAAUCGUUUUAAUCGAUGGGGGGACGCAGUAGGAUAGGCGAAGCGUGCGAUUGGAUUGCACGUCUAAGCAGUAAGGCUGAGUAUUAGGCAAAUCCGGUACUCGUUAAGGCUGAGCUGUGAUGGGGAGAAGACAUUGUGUCUUCGAGUCGUUGAUUUCACACUGCCGAGAAAAGCCUCUAGAUAGAAAAUAGGUGCCCGUACCGCAAACCGACACAGGUAGUCAAGAUGAGAAUUCUAAGGUGAGCGAGCGAACUCUCGUUAAGGAACUCGGCAAAAUGACCCCGUAACUUCGGGAGAAGGGGUGCUCUUUAGGGUUAACGCCCAGAAGAGCCGCAGUGAAUAGGCCCAAGCGACUGUUUAUCAAAAACACAGGUCUCUGCUAAACCGUAAGGUGAUGUAUAGGGGCUGACGCCUGCCCGGUGCUGGAAGGUUAAGAGGAGUGGUUAGCUUCUGCGAAGCUACGAAUCGAAGCCCCAGUAAACGGCGGCCGUAACUAUAACGGUCCUAAGGUAGCGAAAUUCCUUGUCGGGUAAGUUCCGACCCGCACGAAAGGCGUAACGAUUUGGGCACUGUCUCAACGAGAGACUCGGUGAAAUCAUAGUACCUGUGAAGAUGCAGGUUACCCGCGACAGGACGGAAAGACCCCGUGGAGCUUUACUGUAGCCUGAUAUUGAAAUUCGGCACAGCUUGUACAGGAUAGGUAGGAGCCUUUGAAACGUGAGCGCUAGCUUACGUGGAGGCGCUGGUGGGAUACUACCCUAGCUGUGUUGGCUUUCUAACCCGCACCACUUAUCGUGGUGGGAGACAGUGUCAGGCGGGCAGUUUGACUGGGGCGGUCGCCUCCUAAAAGGUAACGGAGGCGCUCAAAGGUUCCCUCAGAAUGGUUGGAAAUCAUUCAUAGAGUGUAAAGGCAUAAGGGAGCUUGACUGCGAGACCUACAAGUCGAGCAGGGUCGAAAGACGGACUUAGUGAUCCGGUGGUUCCGCAUGGAAGGGCCAUCGCUCAACGGAUAAAAGCUACCCCGGGGAUAACAGGCUUAUCUCCCCCAAGAGUUCACAUCGACGGGGAGGUUUGGCACCUCGAUGUCGGCUCAUCGCAUCCUGGGGCUGUAGUCGGUCCCAAGGGUUGGGCUGUUCGCCCAUUAAAGCGGUACGCGAGCUGGGUUCAGAACGUCGUGAGACAGUUCGGUCCCUAUCCGUCGUGGGCGUAGGAAAUUUGAGAGGAGCUGUCCUUAGUACGAGAGGACCGGGAUGGACAUACCUCUGGUGUACCAGUUGUCGUGCCAACGGCAUAGCUGGGUAGCUAUGUGUGGACGGGAUAAGUGCUGAAAGCAUCUAAGCAUGAAGCCCCCCUCAAGAUGAGAUUUCCCAACUUCGGUUAUAAGAUCCCUCAAAGAUGAUGAGGUUAAUAGGUUCGAGGUGGAAGCAUGGUGACAUGUGGAGCUGACGAAUACUAAUCGAUCGAAGACUUAAUCAA